UACGUAGGGUGCAAGCGUUGUCCGGAAUUAUUGGGCGUAAAGGGCUCGUAGGCGGUCCAUCACGUCGGGAGUGAAAAGCUGGGGCUUAACCCCAGUCCUGCUUCCGAUACGGGUGGACUAGAGGUAGGCAGGGGAGAACGGAAUUCCUGGUGUAGCGGUGAAAUGCGUAGAUAUCGGGAGGAACACCUGUGGCGAAGGCGGCCCCCUGGUUGGAUACUGACGCUGAGACGCGAAAGCGUGGGGAGCAAACAGG
This 253-nucleotide ribosomal RNA is filed under the name uncultured bacterium. RNAcentral describes it as "partial 16S ribosomal RNA". It matches the Rfam family "Bacterial small subunit ribosomal RNA", at positions 524 to 776 of the family's 1533-position model. The record is from RNAcentral.